GGAGUCUGCAUCCUAAUGGGAAGAGAGAAUAAUAAACAAAGAGAGUAGUAAGUUACUGAGAAUGUGAAAUAGCGGUAUGUGCGAUGCAAGAAAAGAAUGCCAGGGACAAACAUGGAAACUGAUGGUUUGUGAUUUAAAAUGGGGUGGCCAGUGAUGGCUUCACUCUACUAAUCAGAUGCCUCGUGCCUUUCCAAAAGUAGGCCCUCAAUAAAUGUGUGCCGUGCUGUGCUAAUUUUAGACCCUCUUCAGUGGUGCGGUCCUAACAGAAACCCAACAAGUGCCAUGGAUAAUGUGGAUUUCGCUCGUAAAGGAACUACUACCAUGUCUCCUUGGUUUUCCCUCAGAUCCACCUGCAGUGAAGGGAUAGUAAAUGCUACCUUACGUUUGCAUAGGACUUUCCAGUUUAUUGACUGUCCAAGGUCAGAGUUCUAUUUGCAGGUCACCACAGACCCGUUUCCCAAGCCAGUGAAAAACCACACUAUGCCACAGAUGGAUUUUAAAGGAUGGAUCUUUUUUCCAACAUGUGGCUUCCUGUAAUUUAAGGAAAUGUUAUACAUGAACAAUUAAAAUCAUAUAUCAAAAAAGACGCAAAGCCCAAUAGUUUCUUAUUCUAUCAAAUUACAAGAAAUGGGGGGGGAGCGGGGGAAG
This 648-nucleotide long non-coding RNA is filed under the name Suricata suricatta (meerkat). Its description in RNAcentral is "lncRNA (ENSSSUG00005000057.1)". Lineage: Eukaryota; Metazoa; Chordata; Mammalia; Carnivora; Herpestidae. The record is from RNAcentral.